AAAUUCCCCCACCUUCCCAUGUGUGUGCGUUGUCUGUCGCUCUUGUUCUAACGCGCGGCCAACCCAACCAUUCGUACCUCGUCCCUCUGCACGUCGCAGUCUUCCACACACAGCACCAGACGUGGGUUCGGUUCGUUGGUCUUUUCCCACGCCGUGCGACGGGACCACCUUUUUUUGUUGCUGCUGUUGUUUGCCUCCUUCUCGCCCAUUCCCUACACGAUCCAAGUAGCAGCUGACCCAUAAACCUUCACGCACGCACACAGGGAGAAACGUAGUGCGAAGGGCGAAGCGCGCUCCUCUCGGUCGUCGUCGUCGUCGUCAUCGUCAAACGUCGACAGGAUGUAAACAAUCUAGCAGGCGAAAGAACGGGAGCGCACAGACACACACACACACACACACACGCGCAUAUGUAUCGCCACGGCACGGUGGGAAAAAAAAACAGGAGGGAGGGAACCUUAUGCGUGCACUUAUGCGCUGCUCUGUGGGAACUUCGGAUGCCGAAACUGGGGAAAAGAAGAACGAUUCUUCUUCUGCCCGUUCUGCUUUUUCCCCCUGCAAGCAGCAGCAGCACCAGACCAGACCAGAGGGGUCUUGAAUUCCCACACUUUGCGGCACUCGUCCGGAACGGUGCGCACCAAACACACGCAAAAGGGGGAAAGUAAAGACGAAUGCCGUCGCACCUUGAAGGUCGAAGAUUCGGGCAGUUUCUCACAUUUCCACGCUUAGCGCCAGCGUAGAAGUGAGCCUCUUUUCCUUUGCGCGCACACGGGAGGCUUCCAUCCGGUGGCGGUGAGAACAGAAGAGAGUCCCGGUUGAGGGCAGUUCGAUCGUUCCGGUUGAAGUCUGCAAAUGUGUCGCAAGGGAGUCACCGUAAAUGCAGCUACUGCAUGAGAAAGGGAGGAAGCAUUCAAAGAGAAAGUCAUUGAACCUUGCCACGAAUGGGAGCAUCUCCCAUAACCCAUCCCAACCCAUCACUCGUUCGACUGCUCAGGUUACCCCGGUACGUGUAUUGCUCACCGUAAGCAGGCUUGAGAAAGUCCACACUCAACGUUCUCACACGAUGAUGAUGAUGAUGAUGAUGACGCCGCCCUACCAUACCGUCGUGCCCUCUUCUCGACCCUUUCCCUUUGGUGGGAUCCUUUUUUUCCGCAAGGAUUCCUCAACACACACGCGCCUUCCCUCGUUGCUCCGUUUCGUACGACGAAGAAGGAAACCCUAAAAAGGAACACACACACACACACACACACCCCGUAACGCGAGUAGGCCGAAGAAGUGUGAGAAAAAAGUUAAUCCUCCCCGCUGCCCGGAAGCCCUUGCCGUGCUCGGGACGUCCGUUUUUUUUCAUUUCUUUUGCUUCACUUAUCGCCCUCUCUCUCUCUCUCUCUCUCUCUCUCUCUCUCUCUCUCUCUCUCUCUCUCUCGCUCGCUCGCUCGCUGAAGGGAAUGGUUCAAUCCGGCGAGGAGAUGGCAAUUUAGCACCGAAGCACCAGUCCGGUGGAAGAUGUUUUGUGCCUUCCUGUUUGCUUCUCUUUUGAUGUGGUAACAGUUCCUACGGACGCCACACAAAUAUUGCGCACAAGUGGCGGAUGGAGAGGAAAUGGAAUCGAUGUGGCCGGUGGUGGUGUUGUUGGUCAGUUGGUUGCGAGACCGACCGAGGAGUGGUAAUAUAAUUAAAUUGAUGUCAUUGAUUCGUUUUUGGUAAGCUUUUUUUUAGCGGUAAUGUUUGGAGCAUUUAGGAAAGAAGAGAAUAAAUAGAUUAA
Molecule: long non-coding RNA, 1759 nt
Organism: Anopheles merus
Lineage: Eukaryota; Metazoa; Arthropoda; Insecta; Diptera; Culicidae
Exons: 3
Source: RefSeq, a predicted model, not a curated record